RNAcentral lists this ribosomal RNA (301 nucleotides) under uncultured bacterium. RNAcentral describes it as "partial 16S ribosomal RNA". It matches the Rfam family "Bacterial small subunit ribosomal RNA", at positions 509 to 807 of the family's 1533-position model. The record is from RNAcentral.
CAGUAGCCGCGGGAAUACGUAAGUGGCAAGCGUCGUCCGGAAUUAUUGGGCGUAAAGGGCUCGCAGGCGGUUUCUUAAGUCUGAUGUGAAAGCCCCCGGCUCAACCGGGGAGGGUCAUUGGAAACUGGGAAACUUGAGUGCAGAAGAGGAGAGUGGAAUUCCACGUGUAGCGGUGAAAUGCGUAGAGAUGUGGAGGAACACCAGUGGCGAAGGCGACUCUCUGGUCUGUAACUGACGCUGAGGAGCGAAAGCGUGGGGAGCGAACAGGAUUAGAUACCCCCGUAGUCCCUGUCUCUUAUAC